RNAcentral lists this ribosomal RNA (430 nucleotides) under Acidobacteriota bacterium. RNAcentral's name for it is "Acidobacteria bacterium partial 16S ribosomal RNA". It matches the Rfam family "Bacterial small subunit ribosomal RNA", at positions 355 to 776 of the family's 1533-position model. The record is from RNAcentral. Lineage: Bacteria; Pseudomonadati; Acidobacteriota.
UGGGGAAUAUUGGACAAUGGGCGGAAGCCUGAUCCAGCCAUGCCGCGUGUGUGAAGAAGGCCUUUUGGUUGUAAAGCACUUUAAGCGAGGAGGAGGCUACUUGGAUUAAUACUCUAGGAUAGUGGACGUUACUCGCAGAAUAAGCACCGGCUAACUCUGUGACAGCAGCCGCGGUAAUACAUAGGGUGCGAGCGUUAAUCGGAUUUACUGGGCGUAAAGCGUGCGUAGGCGGCUUCUUAAGUCGGAUGUGAAAUCCCUGAGCUUAACUUAGGAAUUGCAUUCGAUACUGGGAAGCUAGAGUAUGGGAGAGGAUGGUAGAAUUCCAGGUGUAGCGGUGAAAUGCGUAGAGAUCUGGAGGAAUACCGAUGGCGAAGGCAGCCAUCUGGCCUAAUACUGACGCUGAGGUACGAAAGCAUGGGGAGCAAACAGG